GAUGAAGAACGUAGCGAAAUGCGAUAAGUAGGGUGAAUUGCAGAAUUCAGUGAAUCAUCGAAUCUUUGAACGCACAUUGCGCCCCCUGGUAUUCCGGGGGGCAUGCCUGUCCGAGCGUCAUUACAACCCUCAAGCUCAGCUUGGUGUUGGGCCCCGCCGCCCCGGCGGGCCCUAAAGUCAGUGGCGGUGCCGUCCGGCUCCGAGCGUAGUAAUUCUUCUCGCUCUGGAGGUCCGGUCGUGUGCUCGCCAGCAACCCCCAAUUUUUUUCAGGUUGACCUCGGAUCAGGUAGGGAUACCCGCUGAACUUAAGCAUAUCAAUAAGCGGAGGA
This 329-nucleotide unclassified non-coding RNA is filed under the name soil metagenome. RNAcentral's name for it is "partial contains 5.8S ribosomal RNA, internal transcribed spacer 2, and large subunit ribosomal RNA". The stretch from base 1 to 120 matches the Rfam family "5.8S ribosomal RNA", at positions 35 to 154 of the family's 154-position model. The record is from RNAcentral.